GACGAACGCUGGCGGCGUGCUUAACACAUGCAAGUCGAACGGACAGGCCCGCAUCUUGCUGGGGGUGCUCGAGCGGCGAACGGGUGAGUAACACGUGGGGGAUCUGCCCUGGAAUCUGGGAUAAGCUCGGGAAACUGGGUCUAAUACCGGAUAUGAUCAUGGUUUAGUGUCUCAUGGUGUAAAGAUCAUUGUUUUGGUGCAGGAUGAGCUCGCGGCCUAUAAGCUUGUUGGUGGGGUAAUGGCCUACCAAGGCGUCGACGGGUAGCCGGACUGCGAGGGUGGGCGGCCAGAUUGAGACGAAGAUCCGGCCCAGACUCCUACGGAAGGCGGCAGGGGGGAAUAUUGCAGAAUGGGCGCAAGCCUGAGGCAGCGACGCCGCGUGGGGGAUGACGGCCGUCGGGUUGUAAACUCCUUUCGUUAGGGACGAAGCCGCACUUUUUUUGGGAGUGGUGACGGUACCUUUAUGAAGAAGCCCCGGCUAACUACGUG
RNAcentral lists this ribosomal RNA (489 nucleotides) under uncultured bacterium. Its description in RNAcentral is "partial 16S ribosomal RNA". It matches the Rfam family "Bacterial small subunit ribosomal RNA", at positions 28 to 507 of the family's 1533-position model. The record is from RNAcentral.